RNAcentral lists this ribosomal RNA (468 nucleotides) under uncultured bacterium. Its description in RNAcentral is "partial 16S ribosomal RNA". It matches the Rfam family "Bacterial small subunit ribosomal RNA", at positions 28 to 507 of the family's 1533-position model. The record is from RNAcentral.
GACGAACGCUGGCGGCGUGCUUAACACAUGCAAGUCGAACGGAAAGGCCCUGCUUUUGUUGGUUGCUCGAGUGGCGAACGGGUGAGUAACACGUGAGUAACCUGCCCUUCACUUUGGUAUAACUUCACGAAACUGGGGCUAAUACCGGAUAGGAUCUCCUGCUGCAUGGUGGGGGUUGGACAGUUUCGGCGGUUGGGGCUGGACUCGCGGGUCAUGAGCUUGUUGGUGGGGUAGUGGCUUACCACGGCUUGGACGGGUGGCCGGCCUGAGAGGGUGGCCGGCCACAUUGGGACUGAGAUAGGGCCCAGACGCCUACGGGAGGCAGCAGUGGGGAAUAUUGCGCAAUGGGCGGAAGCCUGAUGCAGCGGCGCCGCGUGCGGGAUGACGGCCUUCGGGUUGUGAACCGCUUUCGCCUGUGACGAAGCGUGAGUGACGGUAAUGGGUAAAGAAGCACCGGCUAACUACGUG